Molecule: ribosomal RNA, 494 nt
Filed under: uncultured bacterium
Lineage: Bacteria
Description: bacterial SSU rRNA
Rfam family: Bacterial small subunit ribosomal RNA
Source: RNAcentral
AAAUGAAUUGACGGGGACCCGCACAAGCGGUGGAGCAUGUGGUUUAAUUCGAAGCAACGCGAAGAACCUUACCAGGUCUUGACAUCCCCCUGACCGGUCCGUAACGGGGCCUUUCCUUCGGGACAGGGGAGACAGGUGGUGCAUGGUUGUCGUCAGCUCGUGUCGUGAGAUGUUGGGUUAAGUCCCGCAACGAGCGCAACCCUUAUCCUUAGUAGCCAGCGGUUAGGCCGGGCACUCUAGGGAGACUGCCAGGGACAACCUGGAGGAAGGUGGGGAUGACGUCAAAUCAUCAUGCCCCUUAUGAUCUGGGCUACACACGUGCUACAAUGGUGGCCACAAAGGGAAGCGACCCUGCGAAGGUGAGCAAAUCCCAAAAAAGCCAUCCCAGUUCGGAUUGCAGUCUGCAACUCGACUGCAUGAAGUCGGAAUCGCUAGUAAUCGCGAAUCAGCAUGUCGCGGUGAAUACGUUCCCGGGUCUUGUACACACCGCCCGU